GGGGGAAUUUUGGACAAUGGGGGAAACCCUGAUCCAGCCAUCCCGCGUGUGCGAUGAAGGCCUUCGGGUUGUAAAGCACUUUUGGCAGGAAAGAAACGUCAUGGGUUAAUACCCCGUGAAACUGACGGUACCUGCAGAAUAAGCACCGGCUAACUACGUGCCAGCAGCCGCGGUAAUACGUAGGGUGCAAGCGUUAAUCGGAAUUACUGGGCGUAAAGCGUGCGCAGGCGGUUCGGAAAGAAAGAUGUGAAAUCCCAGAGCUCAACUUUGGAACUGCAUUUUUAACUACCGGGCUAGAGUGUGUCAGAGGGAGGGGGAAUUCCGCGUGUAGCAGUGAAAUGCGUAGAUAUGCGGAGGAACACCGAUGGCGAAGGCAGCCUCCUGGGAUAACACUGACGCUCAUGCACGAAAGCGUGGGGAGCAAACAGG
Molecule: ribosomal RNA, 429 nt
Filed under: Acidobacteriota bacterium
Lineage: Bacteria; Pseudomonadati; Acidobacteriota
Description: Acidobacteria bacterium partial 16S ribosomal RNA
Rfam family: Bacterial small subunit ribosomal RNA
Source: RNAcentral